Molecule: ribosomal RNA, 463 nt
Filed under: uncultured bacterium
Lineage: Bacteria
Description: bacterial SSU rRNA
Rfam family: Bacterial small subunit ribosomal RNA
Source: RNAcentral
GGGCCCGCACAAGCAGUGGAGUAUGUGGUUUAAUUCGAAGCAACGCGAAGAACCUUACCAGGGCUUGACAUCCCACUAACGAAGCAGAGAUGCAUUAGGUGCCCUUUUUGGGAAAGUGGAGACAGGUGGUGCAUGGUUGUCGUCAGCUCGUGUCGUGAGAUGUUGGGUUAAGUCCCGCAACGAGCGCAACCCUUACGGUUAGUUGCUACGCAAGAGCACUCUAGCCGGACUGCCGUUGACAAAACGGAGGAAGGCGGGGACGACGUCAAAUCAUCAUGCCCCUUAUGUCCUGGGCUACACACGUACUACAAUGGCGGUCAACAGAGGGAAGCGAAGCAGCGAUGCCAAGCGAAUCCCAAAAAGCCGUCUCAGUUCAGAUUGCAGGCUGCAACCCGCCUGCAUGAAGGUGGAAUUGCUAGUAAUCGCGGAUCAGCAUGCCGCGGUGAAUACGUUCCCGGGCCUU